This 406-nucleotide unclassified non-coding RNA is filed under the name Hevea brasiliensis (rubber tree). Lineage: Eukaryota; Viridiplantae; Streptophyta; Magnoliopsida; Malpighiales; Euphorbiaceae. The record is from RNAcentral.
GGAAUAUGGAGGCCUAUAUGGGUCAAAGGAAGGGAGGCCUUGUUUCCCUUUGUCAAGAUCUCUCCCUGUUCAGAAGGAAGGGAGCAUGAUAUGAAAAAUAAUCCCUCUUUACUCUCUGUAUUUUGGAACUAACAUUUUACGAACCCUAGCCCUGACCUAUCAGUGUGUAAACUAACAUUCAGGAGCUCUAAAUCUACGACACUUACAGUAAGAAGCUAGGCCAUGCUAGGACAUAAAAACAUGGUUAAGUUAUAAUUUUGGCAGAAGUAUAAAGAAUAAAACUUCACAAUUGCAAAAAGCAAGAUUUGGAGAUGAUAAAUUUAAAAACAUAAGCAAUUGGUUUUUCUGGUAGAUGAUAUUUUGAGAUGAUUUAGAGGAUGUACACACCUUUGAUUCCUUACAGAAG